CCCGCACAAGCGGUGGAGCAUGUGGUUUAAUUCGAAGCAACGCGAAGAACCUUACCAGGUCUUGACAUCCCCUGACAACCCGAGAGAUCGGGCGUUCCCCUUCGGGGGACAGGGUGACAGGUGGUGCAUGGUUGUCGUCAGCUCGUGUCGUGAGAUGUUGGGUUAAGUCCCGCAACGAGCGCAACCCUCGACCUUAGUUGCCAGCAUUCAGUUGGGCACUCUAAGGUGACUGCCGGCUAAAAGUCGGAGGAAGGUGGGGAUGACGUCAAAUCAUCAUGCCCCUUAUGACCUGGGCUACACACGUGCUACAAUGGGCGGUACAAAGGGUCGCGAACCCGCGAGGGGGAGCCAAUCCCAAAAAGCCGCUCUCAGUUCGGAUUGCAGGCUGCAACUCGCCUGCGUGAAGUCGGAAUCGCUAGUAAUCGUGAAUCAGAAUGUCACGGUGAAUACGUUCCCGGGCCUU
RNAcentral lists this ribosomal RNA (463 nucleotides) under uncultured Anoxybacillus sp. RNAcentral describes it as "bacterial SSU rRNA". It matches the Rfam family "Bacterial small subunit ribosomal RNA", at positions 920 to 1382 of the family's 1533-position model. Lineage: Bacteria; Bacillati; Bacillota; Bacilli; Caryophanales; Anoxybacillaceae. The record is from RNAcentral.